UACGUAGGGUGCAGGCGUUAAUCGGAAUUACUGGGCGUAAAGCGUGCGCAGGCGGCUCCUUAAGUCAGAUGUGAAAUCCCCAGGCUCAACCUGGGAACUGCGUCCGAUACUGGAUGGCUUGAAUCCGGGAGAGGGAUGCAGAAUUCCAGGUGUAGCGGUGAAAUGCGUAGAUAUCUGGAGGAAUACCGGUGGCGAAGGCGGCAUCCUGGACCGGCAUUGACGCUGAGGAGCGAAAGCCAGGGGAGCAAACGGG
This 253-nucleotide ribosomal RNA is filed under the name uncultured bacterium. RNAcentral describes it as "partial 16S ribosomal RNA". It matches the Rfam family "Bacterial small subunit ribosomal RNA", at positions 524 to 776 of the family's 1533-position model. The record is from RNAcentral.